Molecule: long non-coding RNA, 1018 nt
Filed under: Danio rerio (zebrafish)
Lineage: Eukaryota; Metazoa; Chordata; Actinopteri; Cypriniformes; Danionidae
Description: SEL1L family member 3 (ENSDARG00000117527.1)
Source: RNAcentral
AGCUUUUACAAAACUUUGCGUAUCAAAAAUGUCCACAGAUUCUGUCUAGUCCUCACCUUGUAUCGUUGUAAUACCUGUGUCAUACCAACGUCUCUAUACAAGUUUGUGUGGCGCGCGCGCGCACACACACACACACACACACCUGUCAUUCUCACACACGGAAGAGCGCGCUCCGGACUCAAUCAUGUAGUGACAGAAACAGCAGAUGUUGGAUCGCCUCAUCGCGUCGCGUUGAUCAGAUAAAAGAUGAUUGUGCUGAGUUUGAUCUGUGCUGCUCUUCUUCUGCAGUCCUCGGUUUGCACCGAGUCUCCAGAUGCUGACAGGACUGAUCAUGGAGACUUUGUGUAUUUUAAAGAUGCUCCGGACACAGUGCAGAACAACUCUAGUGUACACUUGCUGUAUAACUGCUCUGCCGCCUGUCGAGUCAGUGUGGAAAUUAUAAUCUCCUCGCCAUCGAGAGCAGGAGCGGUAGUAUUCAGAAGGACCUGGACUAACUCUAAAAAUGUUGGAAAGCCCAGAUCUAGAGAUUUCCCUCUGGUGUUUCCUCCAGCUCUGCUCUACCAGAGAGACUUUUUCAUCAGGCGUCCGCUGGAGGCCUGUGAUGUGCUUCUGAGGGCCCGUUUGCUCCAUUUGGCAGAACAGGAGCUUAUUGGAGACCAUGUUGAUGGAUCAAUUGUGAAAGCAUCUAGGUUUGUGAGGACUCUACCGCUUUCUGAACGUCCAGCAUGUCCACGCACAAGAUCAGUGUCAUGGGGAGCGUGGCUGAUGUGGCGGAUUACCAAAAACACUGUGAGGACAUGUCCAGUCGAGUCAGGUGAGAGCCGUAUUGACCAGAACCAAGGGCAGAAUUUAAAGGGAUAGUUCACGCAAAGAUGAAAUACAAACUACUUAUUUAAAAUGAGCGGAAUUCUUGAGUGUUUUUGAGACAACUCAAUGUUUUAUGUUUAAUCCACUUAAAUCUGUGAAAACAAUUAAGUUAACUUAAUUGAUUUGUGUUGGGAAAACAUGAAGGGAUUGU